Molecule: ribosomal RNA, 253 nt
Filed under: uncultured bacterium
Lineage: Bacteria
Description: partial 16S ribosomal RNA
Rfam family: Bacterial small subunit ribosomal RNA
Source: RNAcentral
UACGUAGGGUGCAAGCGUUAAUCGGAAUUACUGGGCGUAAAGCGCGCGUAGGUGGUUCGUUAAGUUGGAUGUGAAAUCCCCGGGCUCAACCUGGGAACUGCAUUCAAAACUGACGAGCUAGAGUAUGGUAGAGGGUGGUGGAAUUUCCUGUGUAGCGGUGAAAUGCGUAGAUAUAGGAAGGAACACCAGUGGCGAAGGCGACCACCUGGACUGAUACUGACACUGAGGUGCGAAAGCAUGGGGAGCGAACAGG